CUACGUGCCAGCAGCCGCGGUAAUACGUAGGUGGCAAGCGUUGUCCGGAAUUAUUGGGCGUAAAGCGCGCGCAGGCGGAUCAGUCAGUCUUACUUAAAAGUGCGGGGCUCAACCCCGUGAUGGGAGAGAAACUAUCGGUCUUGAGUACAGGAGAGGAAAGCGGAAUUCCCAGUGUAGCGGUGAAAUGCGUAGAUAUUGGGAAGAACACCAGUGGCGAAGGCGGCUUUCUGGACUGCAACUGACGCUGAGGCUCGAAAGCCAGGGGAGCGAACGGGAUUAGAUACCCCGGUAGUCCUGGCCGUAAACGAUGGAUACUAGGUGUGGGAGGUAUCGACCCCUUCUGUGCCGGAGUUAACGCAAUAAGUACCCCGCCUGGGGAGUACGACCGCAAGGUUGAAACUCAAAGGAAUUGACGGGGGCCCGCACAAGCGGUGGAGUAUGUGGUUUAAUUCGACGCAACGCGAAGAACCUUACCAGGUCUUGACAUUGAUGGACAGAACUAGAGAUAG
This 509-nucleotide ribosomal RNA is filed under the name uncultured bacterium. RNAcentral's name for it is "bacterial SSU rRNA". It matches the Rfam family "Bacterial small subunit ribosomal RNA", at positions 501 to 1009 of the family's 1533-position model. The record is from RNAcentral.